This 432-nucleotide ribosomal RNA is filed under the name uncultured bacterium. RNAcentral describes it as "partial 16S ribosomal RNA". It matches the Rfam family "Bacterial small subunit ribosomal RNA", at positions 29 to 507 of the family's 1533-position model. The record is from RNAcentral.
AACGAACGCUGGCGGCAUGCCUAACACAUGCAAGUCGAACGAGACCUUCGGGUCUGUGGCGCACGGGUGCGUAACGCGUGGGAACCUGCCCUUAGGUUCGGAAUAAAUCCCCGAAAGGGGUGCUAAUACCGGAUAAUGUCUUCGGACCAAAGAUUUAUCGCCUUUGGAUGGGCCCGCGUUGGAUUAGCUAGUUGGUAGGGUAAAAGCCUACCAAGGCGACGAUCCAUAGCUGGUCUGAGAGGAUGAUCAGCCACACUGGGACUGAGACACGGCCCAGACUCCUACGGGAGGCAGCAGUGGGGAAUAUUGGACAAUGGGCGAAAGCCUGAUCCAGCAAUGCCGCGUGAGUGAUGAAGGCCUUAGGGUUGUAAAGCUCUUUUACCCGGGAUGAUAAUGACAGUACCGGGAGAAUAAGCUCCGGCUAACUCCGUG